Molecule: ribosomal RNA, 443 nt
Filed under: uncultured bacterium
Lineage: Bacteria
Description: partial 16S ribosomal RNA
Rfam family: Bacterial small subunit ribosomal RNA
Source: RNAcentral
CCUACGGGAGGCUGCAGUGGGGAAUAUUGGGCAAUGGGCGCAAGCCUGACCCAGCAACGCAGCGUGAAGGAAGAAGGCUUUCGGGUUGUAAACUUCUUUUCUCAGGGACGAAGCAAGUGACGGUACCUGAGGAAUAAGCCACGGCUAACUACGUGCCAGCAGCCGCGGUAAUACGUAGGUGGCAAGCGUUAUCCGGAUUUACUGGGUGUAAAGGGAGUGUAGGCGGGAAAGCAAGUCAGAUGUGAACACCAUGGGCUCAACCUGUGGCCUGCAUUUGAAACUGUUUUUCUUGAGUACUGGAGAGGCAGACGGAAUUCCUAGUGUAGCGGUGAAAUGCGUAGAUAUUAGGAGGAACACCAGUGGCGAAGGCGGUCUGCUGGACAGCAACUGACGCUGAGGCGCGAAAGCGUGGGGAGCAAACAGGAUUAGAUACCCCUGUAGUC